UGUAACAUAAUUCCAAGAAUAUAUCCUCUAUUUUGUUUUUUUGAGAUAAUUAAUGGCUUCUCCACCUCUUCAAGCUUCAAAAUUCCUCAAAAAUCAAUAGAUUUUUCUCUCUCUAAAAAAAAAUGAUAUAGAUUUUUUUUUGUUGUUGUUGUUGAUAUGAUAUAGUAGUUGUUGAGAAGCAUAUGAUUCUGCUGAAAUGGGAGCAUGUGUAUCGCGUCCAGAUAGUUGUGUUGGAGGUAAAUUGAAAGGUUCAAAUAAGUUUAGGAAAAAAAGGGGGGGAAGAAGAAGAAGGAAGAAAUCUAACUCACUUCAUAAAAUUGAUGAGGCGUUUCCUUUGGAUAACUAUAAUCCAACAUUUCAGGGACGGAUUGAGGAGGCAUGGUUUGAUUCUGCUGCAAUAUUUGAAUCUGAUUGCAGUGAUGAAGAUUUCCAGAGUGUUCCUGAUGAUGUACUUUCUGUCAACAGCUUUGAUUGUGGGCGGACUAGUGUAGCUUCGAUCAAAGAUACUAACAAUGGGGAUGUUAAUUUAAACCCCGAUGGACCUCACAGUGAGGUACGGCCUGUUUUCCUUGAUGAGAUCUCGUCCUCGGAAAAUAUAGGUAGUGGCAGGGAGGAUGGUUUGUCGGAGAACUGUGGAAUUCUUUCAAACAACUGUCUGCCCCGUCUUACCUCCACUGUUGUGCCUGUUGAGAAGAGAUCUCUUAGCUCUAGUCCUCCAAGUUCAAGGAAGAAAGCGGACCUAAAGCUUCCCUUCAAAUGGAAAGAUGGAAAUCCUUGUGCCACUCUACUUUCAUCUAAAACCCUGCUUCAAAGGCCCAUAGCUGGUAGCCAAGUACCAGUUUGCCCGUUGGAGAAUAAAUUGCCUGAUAGUUGGUCCUAUAUUGAACCAAAUACCUUCAGGGUCCGGGGAGGAAACUAUUUCAGGGACAAAAAGAAAGAGUUUGCGGCAAAUAAUGCUGCAUAUUAUCCUUUUGGCGUUGACGUAUUUUUAUCUCAAAGAAAAAUUGAUCACAUUGCUCAACUUGUGGAACUUCCUGUCAUUGAACACUCUGGGACACUUCCACCCAUUCUUGUAGUGAACAUUCAGGUGCCAUUAUAUCCUACCGCAAUUUUUCAGGGUGAAACUGACGGUAAAGGAAUGAGUUUUGUCUUGUACUUUAAGCUUUCCGAAAGUUAUGCAAAAGAACUUCCUUCUUAUUUUCAGGAGAACAUCAGAAGAGUAAUGGAUGAUGAAGUGGAAAAAGUGAAGGCUUUUCCAAUGGAUGGUACUGUUCCGUUUAGGGAAAGGUUAAAGAUAUUAGGUCGUGUAGCAAAUAUGGAGGACCUUCGGUUAAGUGCAGCAGAGAGGAAGCUGAU
This 1356-nucleotide unclassified non-coding RNA is filed under the name Hevea brasiliensis (rubber tree). The record is from RNAcentral. Lineage: Eukaryota; Viridiplantae; Streptophyta; Magnoliopsida; Malpighiales; Euphorbiaceae.